Sceloporus undulatus (fence lizard) is the source of this 806-nucleotide long non-coding RNA. RefSeq lists it as uncharacterized. The record is from RefSeq and is a predicted model, not a curated record. The transcript is spliced from 3 exons. Lineage: Eukaryota; Metazoa; Chordata; Lepidosauria; Squamata; Phrynosomatidae.
AAGGGAACCAGGGAGCCAGAGCAGCAGCUGGAGCCACAACAAGGCGAGAGAAUGAAAAUGGAGGGGCAACUGUACUUCCAAAUUUCCAAACAUUCAGCCAAAGUGGCAUCUGCAAUGGGAGAAGAAGGAGACAGAAACGGUCAGAUUCCUGAAGAUGGAACAAAAACAGCCUGGUGAGCAGAAUUGUUAGGAUGAAGAAGACCCUGCAUUAGAAGUGAGCAAGAUCACUUGGAACACACAAUGCAUCUGGAUGCAUUCCAAAGAUCCUCAAAUUACAGUGAAAAUUCUGCUUCUGAGAUUUAGAUCAAAAACAAGGGUUUUCUUUAUUGUUGUUGGUUUUCCCUUUAUUUAACUGCAUGUUUAAACACUUAAAAGUGCACACCUACUUUCUGAUCCACUGGCUGGUUGAUGUUAAGCUGGGUGCAGAAGUGCCCUUCUGCAGGUACAAAGGAGUUCCAUUUGCAAAAAAAACCCCACACCUGCCCUGGCACAAUGCACAAAGCCAGUCACAGGGCCUUAAACGGGGCAUUGCAGGGGCCAGCCUUGAAUCUACUGGAUUCAAAACCCCUUAAUCUUCCCUCUCACAAGAUUAGCACUAUUAUCUUCACCUGCCUGGAGUUAGCAUGGGUAAUAUAUACUGAAACUGGAAAGAGCAGAAGACUUCAGUCUCAGCAGUACCAUCAAUUCUGCAUCAAUAAUAAUAAUAUCAAUAUUGAUUCUAUGAAUAAUAAUAUCAUUAUUGCUGCCCCUGCAAUUACUGUUUCUUUUCCUUUUCCUGGUCCAGAACUCAGGGCAGCUUGCAAAAA